GCUGUGUCCAUGCUUUGUUUACAAUGAUCUGAAAAGGCUAUUUUCUAUUUUCUAUUUUAAAGCCCCAUCUUGGAGCCUUUGAUUUUGUUAAGUUAUUACACACUUUCAAAAAUGUGAAGGCUGAAAUUUCAUUGGCUGAUGUAAUGAUUACCGGAACAGGUAAUAAUAGAGUGUUGUCAGAUCCUUGUAACCAAAGCUUGGACACAGGAUCUGUUUGUUUUAAAUAACCUUGACGGUUAAUUGUAAUUUUGAUCAUAAAAUCAUAAAAAUUAUAUAAAAGAAAAGAAAAGGUCUGUGACUGUAUGAAGUAAAAUAUGUAAGAUUUGAUUAAAGGCUUGUAUUUUGAUAUAUAUGAAAGUUGCAAUGACUAUUUAUAAUCAUAUUGAUUAUAAAAUGAGAAUGUGUCUAUAGGCCACAUAUGUCUCUAAUGCCACUGAGGAUAUAGCUUUAGUCAGAACAGUACUCCCCAUUUUAGCAAUUAACUAGUUGUGUCAGUAUAACCAUCAAUGCUAGAUGCAUUGCCAAAGGCAAUCGAUUCAAAUCUAAUCUGCAAUUGCUUUCAAUAAAACUAAAUAUUCUCUAAGAUUUUAAAUGACAAAAAAAA
This 604-nucleotide long non-coding RNA is filed under the name Mytilus galloprovincialis (Mediterranean mussel). Lineage: Eukaryota; Metazoa; Mollusca; Bivalvia; Mytilida; Mytilidae. The record is from RNAcentral.